GGGCCUUUAGCUCAGAUGGCAGAGCAGCGAGCUUUUACCUCGAUGGUCCCGGGAUCGAGACCCGGAGGGCCCA
RNAcentral lists this transfer RNA (73 nucleotides) under Microbacterium sp. Its description in RNAcentral is "tRNA-Lys". It matches the Rfam family "tRNA". From Rfam's summary of the family: Transfer RNA (tRNA) molecules are approximately 80 nucleotides in length. Their secondary structure includes four short double-helical elements and three loops (D, anti-codon, and T loops). Further hydrogen bonds mediate the characteristic L-shaped molecular structure. tRNAs have two regions of fundamental functional importance: the anti-codon, which is responsible for specific mRNA codon recognition, and the 3' end, to which the tRNAs corresponding amino acid is attached (by aminoacyl-tRNA synthetases). tRNAs cope with the degeneracy of the genetic code in two manners: having more than one tRNA (with a specific anti-codon) for a particular amino acid; and 'wobble' base-pairing, i.e. permitting non-standard base-pairing at the 3rd anti-codon position. Lineage: Bacteria; Bacillati; Actinomycetota; Actinomycetes; Micrococcales; Microbacteriaceae. The record is from RNAcentral. RNAcentral also lists the same sequence under 2 other names.